This 446-nucleotide ribosomal RNA is filed under the name uncultured Bacteroidota bacterium. RNAcentral's name for it is "bacterial SSU rRNA". It matches the Rfam family "Bacterial small subunit ribosomal RNA", at positions 237 to 680 of the family's 1533-position model. Lineage: Bacteria; Pseudomonadati; Bacteroidota. The record is from RNAcentral.
GACAUUAGCUUGUUGGUAAGGUAACGGCUUACCAAGGCUGCGAUGUCUAGGGGGUCUGAGAGGACUAUCCCCCACACUGGUACUGAGACACGGACCAGACUCCUACGGGAGGCAGCAGUGAGGAAUAUUGCGCAAUGGAGGAAACUCUGACGCAGCCAUGCCGCGUGCAGGAAUAAGGCCCUAUGGGUUGUAAACUGCUUUUAUACGGGAAGAAAUAUAUCUACGUGUAGAUAUUUGACGGUACCGUACGAAUAAGGAUCGGCUAACUCCGUGCCAGCAGCCGCGGUAAUACGGAGGAUCCAAGCGUUAUCCGGAUUUAUUGGGUUUAAAGGGUCCGCAGGCGGGAAAUUAAGUCAGUGGUGAAAUCCUACAGCUUAACUGUACAACUGCCAUUGAUACUGGUUUUCUUGAGUACACCUGAAGUGGGCGGAAUGUGUCAUGUAGCG